AGCGAACGCUGGCGGCAGGCUUAACACAUGCAAGUCGAGCGGGCACUUCGGUGCUAGUGGCAGACGGGUGAGUAACACGUGGGAACGUACCUUUCGGUUCGGAAUAAUUCAGGGAAACUUGGACUAAUACCGGAUACGCCCUUCGGGGAAGAUUUAUCGCCGAUAGAUCGGCCCGCGUCUGAUUAGCUAGUUGGUGAGGUAAUGGCUCACCAAGGCGACGAUCAGUAGCUGGUCUGAGAGGAUGAUCAGCCACAUUGGGACUGAGACACGGCCCAA
This 276-nucleotide ribosomal RNA is filed under the name uncultured bacterium. RNAcentral's name for it is "partial 16S ribosomal RNA". It matches the Rfam family "Bacterial small subunit ribosomal RNA", at positions 29 to 334 of the family's 1533-position model. The record is from RNAcentral.